GGCCAUAGGCAAUGAUGCUCUUACGAAUCGUGUCAGGUUCGGAAGAAAGCAGCACUAAGUAGGUUGCACCAUGUGCCUUAUGUUUAGA
RNAcentral lists this signal recognition particle RNA (88 nucleotides) under Lactobacillus sp. YT155. RNAcentral's name for it is "signal recognition particle sRNA small type". It matches the Rfam family "Bacterial small signal recognition particle RNA". Rfam says of the family: The signal recognition particle (SRP) is a universally conserved ribonucleoprotein involved in the co-translational targeting of proteins to membranes. Archaeal SRP consists of a 7S RNA and homologues of the eukaryotic SRP19 and SRP54 proteins. In most bacteria, the SRP consists of a 4.5S RNA and the Ffh protein (a homologue of the eukaryotic SRP54 protein). The record is from RNAcentral. Lineage: Bacteria; Bacillati; Bacillota; Bacilli; Lactobacillales; Lactobacillaceae.